RNAcentral lists this ribosomal RNA (484 nucleotides) under uncultured bacterium. RNAcentral describes it as "partial 16S ribosomal RNA". The stretch from base 51 to 484 matches the Rfam family "Bacterial small subunit ribosomal RNA", at positions 39 to 507 of the family's 1533-position model. The record is from RNAcentral.
GGGGGGGGGGGGGGGGGGGCGGGGGGGGUGGGGGGCGAGCGGGGGGGCGGGGGGCGGGCUGGGGGCGGGGGGGGGGCGGGGGGGUGAUGCAUGGGAGCGUGCGCGGUAGUGGGGGGUGGCCCGGCGAAAGCCGGGUUAAUACGGCCGACGACCUGAGGGUGCAAGCGGGGGACCGACAGGCCCCGGGGUAUGGGAGCGGCCGACGUCGGUCUAGGUGGUUGGGUGGGUAAGGGCUUACCAAGGGGGCCAUCCGUAGCUGGUCUGAGAGGACGCCCGGCCACACUGGGACUGAGACACGGCCCAGACUCCUAAGGGAGGCAGCAGUGGGGAAUGUUGGACAAUGGGGGCAACCCUGAUCCAGCCAGGCCGCGUGCGGGAAGAAGGCCUUCGGGUUGUAAACCGCUUUUGUUCGGGAAGAAAUCCUCUGGGCUAAUACCCCGGGGGGAUGACGGUACCGGAAGAAUAAGCACCGGCUAACUACGUG